AAAAAAUUGGUAAAAAUAUUUCUUCAAAUUUCACUUUUUUAGUGAAAGAGAAUUUUGAAAGUAUUAAGGUGGAAAAUUGUUCAAAAGAGGAGAUAAUUAAGGAGGAGAAAAGUGGAUUAUUAUCUAUAAUUUCAACAAAUUGGGGUGAUUUGGGAGCUAAUAAAGUAAGAUUUACUGAAGGAAAUGAGGCUAUUCAUAUUUCAUGUUGGAUUAUUAAUGGAGAAAAUAAUCAAGAUCUUGUGAUGAUUAGUCCAACUAAUGAUGAAGACAACUCUGAACUAAACAUUAUAAUUACAAUCUCUAAUUAGAUUCUUGAAAAUUAAGGUCGAUGAAAAAUUUAAAUUGUAUUGAUUUUUU
Molecule: unclassified non-coding RNA, 357 nt
Filed under: Hevea brasiliensis (rubber tree)
Lineage: Eukaryota; Viridiplantae; Streptophyta; Magnoliopsida; Malpighiales; Euphorbiaceae
Source: RNAcentral